RNAcentral lists this transfer RNA (85 nucleotides) under Syntrophomonas wolfei subsp. wolfei str. Goettingen G311. Its description in RNAcentral is "tRNA-Tyr (GTA) (tRNA-Tyr-GTA-1-1)". It matches the Rfam family "tRNA". From Rfam's summary of the family: Transfer RNA (tRNA) molecules are approximately 80 nucleotides in length. Their secondary structure includes four short double-helical elements and three loops (D, anti-codon, and T loops). The record is from RNAcentral. RNAcentral also lists the same sequence under 2 other names. Lineage: Bacteria; Bacillati; Bacillota; Clostridia; Eubacteriales; Syntrophomonadaceae.
GGAGGGAUACCCAAGUGGCCAAAGGGGGCAGACUGUAAAUCUGUUGGCACCGCCUUCGAAGGUUCAAAUCCUUCUCCCUCCACCA